RNAcentral lists this ribosomal RNA (268 nucleotides) under uncultured bacterium. RNAcentral's name for it is "partial 16S ribosomal RNA". It matches the Rfam family "Bacterial small subunit ribosomal RNA", at positions 86 to 353 of the family's 1533-position model. The record is from RNAcentral.
AGAUGGCGACCGGCGCACGGGUGAGUAACACGUAUCCAACCUGCCGAUAACUCGGGGAUAGCCUUUCGAAAGAAAGAUUAAUACCCGAUGGCAUAGUUCUUCCGCAUGGUGGAACUAUUAAAGAAUUUCGGUCAUCGAUGGGGAUGCGUUCCAUUAGGUUGUUGGCGGGGUAACGGCCCACCAAGCCUUCGAUGGAUAGGGGUUCUGAGAGGAAGGUCCCCCACAUUGGAACUGAGACACGGUCCAAACUACUACGGGAGGCAGCAUG